UUCUAUAUUUGGAAUCUCAAAUGAAAACAAAUACAGUUUAUACUUGGUGGUGGAGUUACUUACGAAAAAAAUCGUGAUGUUACUGCUAUAGUAUAACUUAAAAACAAUACAAAAGGCUUGUC
Molecule: non-coding RNA, 122 nt
Organism: Flavobacteriaceae bacterium CG2_30_34_30
Lineage: Bacteria; Pseudomonadati; Bacteroidota; Flavobacteriia; Flavobacteriales; Flavobacteriaceae
Source: Rfam